This 206-nucleotide RNase P RNA is filed under the name Candidatus Eiseniibacteriota bacterium. RNAcentral describes it as "partial RNase P RNA component class A". It matches the Rfam family "Bacterial RNase P class A", at positions 1 to 171 of the family's 367-position model. Rfam says of the family: Ribonuclease P (RNase P) is a ubiquitous endoribonuclease, found in archaea, bacteria and eukarya as well as chloroplasts and mitochondria. Its best characterised activity is the generation of mature 5'-ends of tRNAs by cleaving the 5'-leader elements of precursor-tRNAs. The record is from RNAcentral. Lineage: Bacteria; Candidatus Eiseniibacteriota.
GGAGCCGGUGAGGUGGUCGCGGGGCGGCUCGCAGGGGCGGCCCUGAGGAAAGUCCGAGCUCCAAAGGGCAGGGUGCUGGGUAACGCCCAGGGGGAGUGAUCCCACGGAAAGUGCAACAGAAAGUAGACCGCCCCGGGGAUCUGAUCGCCUGCGUGCUGCGUGGACGAUCCAUGAUCACCGUGGCAAGGGUGAAACGGUGAGGUAAG